UACGAAGGGUGCAAGCGUUGUUCGGAUUUACUGGGCGUAAAGCGCGCGCAGGCGGAUAUGUAAGCCAGAUGUGAAAUCUCGGGGCUCAACCCCGAAACUGCGUCUGGAACUGCGUAUCUAGGAUCUCAUAGAGGGAAGGGGAAUUUCUUGUGUAGGGGUAAAAUCCGUAGAGAUAAGAAGGAACAUCAGAGGCGAAGGCGCCUUCCUGGAUGAGUAUCGACGCUGAGGCGCGAAAGCGUGGGGAGCAAACAGG
RNAcentral lists this ribosomal RNA (253 nucleotides) under uncultured bacterium. RNAcentral describes it as "partial 16S ribosomal RNA". It matches the Rfam family "Bacterial small subunit ribosomal RNA", at positions 524 to 776 of the family's 1533-position model. The record is from RNAcentral.